UUUUAGCUCAGCGGUCAAGCGUUAGCUUUGGACGCCAAAGGACGGUGGUUCAAACCUACGAGGGCACAG
This 69-nucleotide transfer RNA is filed under the name Phytophthora infestans (potato late blight agent). RNAcentral describes it as "tRNA-Pro". The record is from RNAcentral. Lineage: Eukaryota; Oomycota; Peronosporomycetes; Peronosporales; Peronosporaceae.